Molecule: ribosomal RNA, 1218 nt
Filed under: Triticum aestivum (bread wheat)
Lineage: Eukaryota; Viridiplantae; Streptophyta; Magnoliopsida; Poales; Poaceae
Description: partial small subunit ribosomal RNA
Source: RNAcentral
AUGGCGCCGCCGCCGCCAAGCUCCCACCAAAGCCCACCGCCGCCGCCGUCCAUCGCGGAUAUUCCGGAAGUGUUGCUCGAGGACAUCUUCCUCCGCCUCCCCGAUGCCGCCGACCUGGCCCGCGCCUCCACCGCCUGCGCCUCCUUCCGCCACGUCAUAGCCGGCCACGCCUUCCUCCGCCUCUACCGCGUCCUCCACCCGCCGCCCCUCAUCGGCGUGCUCCAAGAUCCCUUCAUCCCAGCCCAGCCGCCGCACCCCUCCGCCACCACAGCCCGCGCCUUCACCGGAUUCAAUUUCUCAUGCUCCUCUUUACUCCCCUCCACCGCCGGGCGCUCCUGGAGUCAAGUUGACUUCUUUCACGGCCGCGCCCUCCUAGCCAGCGACCCGGCCAAGGAAAAAACCGGGGCCAUGGGCGCUGAGGUGUGCCAAUUUUUUGUCAGGGAACUCGCUGUGUGCGACCCCGUGCACCGCCGCUACAUCGUGCUGCCCGCCCUCCCCGUCGGCCUGAAAGCGCUUGUCCGUAAACCCGACGUCCUCAGUCUGGAGACGUUCCUUGCUCCUGGCGAGGAUGAGGAUCCUUUAUCAUUCAAGGUGAUGUGUUUGGCCAAAUGCAGAAUGAAUCUGCUGCUUGUGGUCUCCUCCUCCUCUUUGGAUAGACAGUGGCAUGCUCGUACGUUUGACCAAUGGAGCGCUCCGGCUGUGUUUGCUUCAGUUGAGAACUCUGAGCAUGGGCUGUCCUACUCCAAUCAUCAAUAUGCCAACAGAUGCUUCUAUUGAUGUUUGCAUUUCCUGAGCAAGUUGCUUGUGCUUGAUGUGUGCGCAAUGAAGUUCUCUGUUGUCGACCUCCCUCCUGAUCAAAACUGGACAAGUGAGUUUGCCAUUCUGGAGACAACUGAAGGAACGCUCGGGAUGCUCACUAAAGAUAGCGAUGAUGAUCCAUAUUGGCUAGCGUAUUCCAUUAUGAGGAAUAACCAGUGGCACUCGGAGAAGGUCAUCCUGUUGCCUGUAAAGCGUGCUGUUUUCAUUGGUGUAGCCGGUGGAUACCUGCUCAUGGAAGCGUUGUACACCACAUCUUUGCCAGAGGAGCUGAAGUUAGGAUGCCUUUUGGUGGACGUGAAGACGUUGCAGGUCGAGUUGUUUGCUAAGCUUAGCAAACCCAUCUUACAUGGUCUAUUAUAUGCUGGAUUCCCACCAUCAUUGUCUGCACCAACUAUAUGA